GACGAACCGUGCAAACGUUGUUCGGAAUCACUGGGCUUAAAGGGCGCGUAGGCGGUCGACCAAGUCCGGGGUGAAAUCUUUCGGCUUAACCGGAAAAGUGCCUUGGAUACUGGCCGGCUGGAGGGAGGUAGGGGCAGGUGGAACUUCCAGUGGAGCGGUGAAAUGCGUAGAGAUUUGGAGGAACACCAGUGGCGAAGGCGACUUUCUGGUCUGUAACUGACACUGAGGCGCGAAAGCGUGGGGAGCGAACAGG
RNAcentral lists this ribosomal RNA (253 nucleotides) under uncultured bacterium. RNAcentral's name for it is "partial 16S ribosomal RNA". It matches the Rfam family "Bacterial small subunit ribosomal RNA", at positions 524 to 776 of the family's 1533-position model. The record is from RNAcentral.